AGCAGCCGCGGUAAUUCCAGCUCCAAUAGCGUAUAUUAAAGUUGUUGCAGUUAAAAGCUCGUAGUUGAAUUUCGGGAUCAAGGAAUCGGUCAUGCCUCGGUAUGUACUGGUUUUAUUGGUUCUCACCUUCUAAAGAACCAUGAUGUCAUUCAUUUGAUGUUAUGGGGAAUUAGGACUGUUACCUUGAAAAAAUUAGAGUGUUUAAAGCAGGCUUACGCUUGAAUACAUUAGCAUGGAAUAAUGAAAUAGGACAUCAGAUUCUAUUUUGUUGGUUUCUAGGAUCGAUGUAAUGAUUAAUAGGGAUAGUUGGGGGCAUUAGUAUUCAAUUGUCAGAGGUGAAAUUCUUGGAUUUAUUGAAGACUAACUACUGCGAAAGCAUUUGCCAAGGAUGUUUUCAUUAAUCAAGAACGAAAGUUAGGGGAUCGAAGACGAUCAGAUACCGUCGUAGUCUUAACCAUAAACUAUGCCGACUAGGGAUCGGAUGAUGUUAAUUUUUUAAUGACUCAUUCGGCGCCUUACG
This 520-nucleotide unclassified non-coding RNA is filed under the name uncultured Glomus. RNAcentral's name for it is "SSU rRNA". It matches the Rfam family "Eukaryotic small subunit ribosomal RNA", at positions 569 to 1092 of the family's 1831-position model. Lineage: Eukaryota; Fungi; Glomeromycota; Glomeromycetes; Glomerales; Glomeraceae. The record is from RNAcentral.